GACGAACGCUGGCGGCGUGCUUAACACAUGCAAGUCGAACGGUGAAGCGCCUUCCUUUUUGGUGGGUGUGGAUGAGUGGCGAACGGGUGAGUAACACGUGAGUAACCUGCCUCCUUCUUCUGGAUAACCGCAUGAAAGUGUGGCUAAUACGGGAUAUUCUGGGUCUGUCGCAUGGUGGGUCUGGGAAAGAUAUUGUUUCGGUGGGGGAUGGGCUCGCGGCCUAUCAGCUUGUUGGUGGGGUGAUGGCCUACCAAGGCGGUGACGGGUAGCCGGCCUGAGAGGGUGGACGGUCACACUGGGACUGAGACACGGCCCAGACUCCUACGGGAGGCAGCAGUGGGGAAUAUUGCACAAUGGGCGCAAGCCUGAUGCAGCGACGCCGCGUGAGGGAUGGAGGCCUUCGGGUUGUGAACCUCUUUCGCCAGUGAAGCAGGCCUGCCUCGUUUGUGGGUGGGUUGACGGUAGCUGGAUAAGAAGCGCCGGCUAACUACGUG
Molecule: ribosomal RNA, 494 nt
Filed under: uncultured bacterium
Lineage: Bacteria
Description: partial 16S ribosomal RNA
Rfam family: Bacterial small subunit ribosomal RNA
Source: RNAcentral